GAUGAACGCUGGCGGCGUGCUUAACACAUGCAAGUCGAACGAUGAAGCCCAGCUUGCUGGGUGGAUUAGUGGCGAACGGGUGAGUAACACGUGAGCAACCUGCCCCUGACUCUGGGAUAAGCGCUGGAAACGGCGUCUAAUACUGGAUAUGUCCCGUCACCGCAUGGUGUGCGGGUGGAAAGAUUUUUCGGUUGGGGAUGGGCUCGCGGCCUAUCAGCUUGUUGGUGAGGUAAUGGCUCACCAAGGCGUCGACGGGUAGCCGGCCUGGGAGGGUGACCGGCCACACUGGGACUGAGACACGGCCCAGACUCCUACGGGAGGCAGCAGUGGGGAAUAUUGCACAAUGGGCGGAAGCCUGAUGCAGCAACGCCGCGUGAGGGAUGACGGCCUUCGGGUUGUAAACCUCUUUUAGCAGGGAAGAAGCGAAAGUGACGGUACCUGCAGAAAAAGCACCGGCUAACUACGUG
RNAcentral lists this ribosomal RNA (467 nucleotides) under uncultured bacterium. Its description in RNAcentral is "partial 16S ribosomal RNA". It matches the Rfam family "Bacterial small subunit ribosomal RNA", at positions 28 to 507 of the family's 1533-position model. The record is from RNAcentral.